RNAcentral lists this ribosomal RNA (187 nucleotides) under uncultured bacterium. RNAcentral describes it as "partial 16S ribosomal RNA". It matches the Rfam family "Bacterial small subunit ribosomal RNA", at positions 1314 to 1500 of the family's 1533-position model. The record is from RNAcentral.
GCCUGCAUGAAGUCGGAAUUGCUAGUAAUCGCGGAUCAGAAUGCCGCGGUGAAUACGUUCCCGGGUCUUGUACACACCGCCCGUCACACCAUGGGAGCCGGGAAUGCCCGAAGUCAGUGGCCCAACCGAAAGGGGGGAGCUGCCGAAGGCAGGCCUGGUGACUGGGGUGAAGUCGUAACAAGGUAGC